Molecule: ribosomal RNA, 613 nt
Filed under: Ruegeria sp.
Lineage: Bacteria; Pseudomonadati; Pseudomonadota; Alphaproteobacteria; Rhodobacterales; Roseobacteraceae
Description: bacterial SSU rRNA
Rfam family: Bacterial small subunit ribosomal RNA
Source: RNAcentral
UCGAGCGCACCUUCGGGUGAGCGGCGGACGGGUUAGUAACGCGUGGGAACAUACCCUUUGGUACGGAAUAGCCUCUGGAAACGGAGAGUAAUACCGUAUGAGCCCUUCGGGGGAAAGAUUUAUCGCCAAAGGAUUGGCCCGCGUUAGAUUAGGUAGUUGGUGGGGUAAUGGCCUACCAAGCCUACGAUCUAUAGCUGGUUUUAGAGGAUGAUCAGCAACACUGGGACUGAGACACGGCCCAGACUCCUACGGGAGGCAGCAGUGGGGAAUCUUGGACAAUGGAUCCAACCCUGAUCCAGCCAUGCCGCGUGAGUGAUGAAGGCCUUAGGGUCGUAAAGCUCUUUCGCCUGUGAAGAUAAUGACGGUAGCAGGUAAAGAAACCCCGGCUAACUCCGUGCCAGCAGCCGCGGUAAUACGGAGGGGGUUAGCGUUGUUCGGAAUUACUGGGCGUAAAGCGCACGUAGGCGGACUGGAAAGUUGGGGGUGAAAUCCCAGGGCUCAACCCUGGAACUGCCUCCAAAACUAUCAGUCUAGAGUUCGAGAGAGGUGAGUGGAAUUCCGAGUGUAGAGGUGAAAUUCGUAGAUAUUCGGAGGAACACCAGUGGCGAAGGCG